CUAGGGUUACCUGCUGAAUGCUUCACAUUGCUAGUGUGCAUUUCUUUGUUUUUUGGCGGACCAGAACAAAGUGCUUUUCAUCAUGGAUUACUACCAACAAGUCAGGGUACGUAUUAUAUGCUCAGGCUGUGGCAGUGUGUGACAUGGAGAGAGAGCAGAGGAGGGAGAGGAGACAUGCUCGAUCCUGUUGGACCAAGCAGUGGCUGAUGCAGAGGGAGUCAUUCUCUCACAUGCCAUUGCUAAUGGAGAUUCAGGAGAAUAAUCCGGAGGAUUACAGCAACUACCUGUGGAUGGACAAGGAGAUGUUCCAGGAGCUGCUGCGACUGGUGACACCCCUCAUCGAGAAGCGGGAUACCAACAUGCACAAGGUCAUAUCUGUGCAGGACAUUCUGGUAGCUACCUGCGCUAUGUGGCUACCGGGAGAUCACUGCAGGACCUCAAGUUCAGCACCCUCAUUUCCCCUCAGGCUUUGGGGCAUAUUAUUCCUGAGACCUGCAAGGUCGUGUUCACCGUGCUCAGAAAAGAGUAUUUUAAGUUUCCUGCUUCUGCUGAUGACUGAAGAGCUAUUGCAGAAGAAUAUGAAGUUCAGUGGAAUUUUCCCAGUUGUGGAGGUGCUAUUGAUGGGAAACAUGUGCACAUCACUCCUCCUACCAAAAGUGGAUCCCUGUACUACAACUAUAAGGGCUUCUCUACAUUGGCAUCUCUAUAAUGGGUGCAAUAUGUGCGGUACAUACUGGCCUCUGGGUCCAGGGGGGCCCCACACUGCACCCAUUUUAAUACUUAGCUUUUCGGAUUCCAGUGUUGGGUGCUGCGGUCGCGGUGGAAAUCACUUCCAAAAUUGCUGCCGCUCCUGCACAGUAGCCACAUUGGUCUCUGGAUCAUUUUGGGCGCCAUGUUUCCGGAGACCUGCGCAUGCACAGUAGACUCCGGCACAAAGCCGGAGUCUACAGCACCGUACAGAGGAGGGGGUCCAUCCAAAGGUGCACACGGGCCCUUUCCUCUGUUGAAACGCCCCUGCUUCUUUAGUGUAGUUCUAAUGGCAAUUGUCAAUGCUAAUUAUGAGUUUCUUUUUGUAGAUGUGGGUAAAAAUGGGCGAGCCUCAGAUUAAAGGACAUAGUGUUUUACAAGAUGCUUGUAACACAGCAGCCACAGCUACCUAAAGCAGAGGACUGCAAGCAUGGGCUAAACAUUGUAUUUGUGGCUGAUUAAGUGUUUGCUCUCCAAGAACAUAUUCUUAAGCCCUACCCACAAAGGCACCUCACAGGGAGAAGUGCAUCUUCAACUAUCGCCUGUCUCGGGCCCAGCGUGUAGCUGAAAAUGCCUUUGGGUUCCUGAGCAGGCGAUUUUGGAUUUUCAACACUGCAAUAGAUCUGCAUGUCGAUAAAAUAAACUGGGUGGCAUUUGGGUGUUGUGCGUUGCAUAACUAUCUGAAGCACAAACACUCCCAUUGUAGUCCUCAACCUAUCACUGUGCUGGAAGACACACCGCACAUUUCGGACAAUGACAGGUGGACUAACGUGGAAGUCACCUCCGGACACACCACACAGGCAGUCAAUGCCGAGGCUAAACAGGUCAGGGAGGACUACCUGGCCUUCUUUAACGGCGUGUGGGCAGUGGCAUGGCAGGAAGCUGCAAUUAAGUAAUGUUAGUUUCUGUUUACCAUAGACAUUACUGAUGUGUACAUAUAUGGAUAUAUGAAUCCUUUGUUUACAUUAAAUGAUGUCAGUUGAU
Long non-coding RNA from Pseudophryne corroboree (corroboree frog), 1731 nucleotides. RefSeq lists it as uncharacterized. Lineage: Eukaryota; Metazoa; Chordata; Amphibia; Anura; Myobatrachidae. The record is from RefSeq and is a predicted model, not a curated record. The transcript is spliced from 2 exons.